UGAACAUGAUAAUCAACACUAUAUAGAAAGAGGUGCAUUAACAGAAGUAGAUUGUUUGAAUAAUUUCCUGCCACAAAUGAGGCAAGAUUCUUCAGUGUUCUAACCCAUUUCUGUGAAUUGUGAGGCUUUCUACUGUGGUUGGUAGGAAUAGGGACUCUCUGGCCUUUUGUGAGCUCCAACAACUGUUUCCUCUUCUGUUUAAUCCUUUCACGUGGUUCUUUCCCUGACCUUGGGUAACUUCCUCACACAUACGCGUUAAUUAAUACUCAACCGGAGACUAAAGUGGACCCUUGGCACACCUCCAGAACUGUCUCUCUGCACAGCUUUCUGAUCCUGUACUUGGCUGUCCUGGACUUGCAACUGAAUGUCCUCGACCCAGAGACACUGCCGGUCUCCACUUGGGCUCCCAGUGUGCUGGGGCCUGAAAAUAUUCUCUACACAUUUAGCUGGAGAUAAUUAUAGUUACACCUCAUUUGUUUCCAUCUUUCAGGGAUCACUGUCCUCAGUUGCCUAGUGUCAAUAUCUUGAAUGCUGUUGUUUCUUAAUAUUUUGUCCAGUUUUUUGGUUAUUUCAGGUGGGAGGGUAAAUCAGGUCCCUGUUGCUCCAUCUUGACUGGAAGCAGAAGUUGUCUUUAAAAAAAAAAAAAAAACUUCCUCAAAAAUGUUUUAAAAAAUAGAAGAAAACAAAAAACAAAACCACUAGAUUAUAGUGACUUAAACACAAAGAGACAAACAGCAAAUACCUAAUAUUACAAUAACAUGAGAAACAGAUUUUGACUCAAUGUGUAAAGAAUGGCUUUCUAUAAUCAAAGUUAUGCAAAGAUGGAAUAGUUUUCCUUGAAAAGUGGUGAGUUUCUCUAUUGCAGCAAAUGCUAACAGAGGUUAUCAGCAUUGUUGGAAUAUUACAGGGC
This 910-nucleotide long non-coding RNA is filed under the name Homo sapiens (human). RNAcentral's name for it is "HSALNT0071570". The record is from RNAcentral. Lineage: Eukaryota; Metazoa; Chordata; Mammalia; Primates; Hominidae.